This 96-nucleotide ribosomal RNA is filed under the name Citrobacter werkmanii. The record is from RNAcentral. Lineage: Bacteria; Pseudomonadati; Pseudomonadota; Gammaproteobacteria; Enterobacterales; Enterobacteriaceae.
GGUCCCAGCUGACCCCAUGCCGAACUCAGAAGUGAAACGCCGUAGCGCCGAUGGUAGUGUGGGGUCUCCCCAUGCGAGAGUAGGGAACUGCCAGGC